Molecule: non-coding RNA, 46 nt
Filed under: Alexandrium minutum
Lineage: Eukaryota; Dinophyceae; Gonyaulacales; Pyrocystaceae
Source: RNAcentral
UUUUUUUUUUUUUUUUUUUUUUUUUUUUUUUUUUUUUUUUUUUUCU